AACUUAAAGGAAUUGACGGGGACCCGCACAAGCAGCGGAGCGUGUGGUUUAAUUCGUUGCUACACGAAGAACCUUACCUAGGUUUGACAUAUAGGUUUGUAGGGAACUGAAAAGGGACCGACCCUUCGGGGAGCCUAUACAGGUGUUGCAUGGCUGUCGUCAGCUCGUGUCGUGAGAUGUUCGGUUAAGUCCGCUAACGAGCGCAACCCUCGUCGUAUGUUACAAGUGUCAUACGAGACUGCCGGUAAAAAGUCGGAGGAAGGUGAGGAUGAUGUCAAGUCAGCAUGACCUUUAUAUCUAGGGCUACACACACGCUACAAUGGUCUGUACAAUGGGUUGCCAAGCCGCGAGGCGGAGCCAAUCCUAAAAAGCAGGCCUCAGUUCAGAUUGCAGUCUGCAACCCGACUGCAUGAAGCCGGAGUUGCUAGUAACCGCAGGUCAGCAAUACUGCGGUGAAUACGUUCCCGGGUCUU
This 473-nucleotide ribosomal RNA is filed under the name uncultured Anaerolineaceae bacterium. RNAcentral's name for it is "bacterial SSU rRNA". It matches the Rfam family "Bacterial small subunit ribosomal RNA", at positions 898 to 1382 of the family's 1533-position model. Lineage: Bacteria; Bacillati; Chloroflexota; Anaerolineae; Anaerolineales; Anaerolineaceae. The record is from RNAcentral.